This 95-nucleotide ribosomal RNA is filed under the name uncultured bacterium. RNAcentral describes it as "partial 16S ribosomal RNA". The record is from RNAcentral.
UCUUGUACUCACCGCCCGUCACGUCAUGGAAGCUAGAGGCGCCCGAAAUCUCUCAAACAAUCAGAGGGCCUAAGGUGAAACUAGUGACUGGGACG